Zalophus californianus (California sea lion) is the source of this 1855-nucleotide long non-coding RNA. RefSeq lists it as uncharacterized. The record is from RefSeq and is a predicted model, not a curated record. Lineage: Eukaryota; Metazoa; Chordata; Mammalia; Carnivora; Otariidae. The transcript has 3 exons.
UCUACAUCCCCUGUUUAACACAAAUGACAGCACCAAAAAAAAUUGAAGGAAUAUUUAAUUUUUGCUUUUGUAAUUAUUUACCUACGAAUAAUUCCUAUAAUUUACCACGGGUCUAAUCUCUUAGCUAUCAUCUACUUAUUGUCGGGAAUUCUUGCAAAACAAGUUAAUGCAAAUGUAAUAAAAUUUGUAAAUGCUUUAUUUGGCUGAAUGAAAAUGCCAUCGUGUCACAUUUUGCAGACAUCCGAUUAUCGUUUCCAUUUUGCAGUUUUCUUUUCCCAUUUUUCCAUUAAGUCGUUUCCAUUUUGCAGUUUUCUUUUCCCAUUUUCAAGAGAACAUUUUUCCAUCCAGGACUACUCUACCUGCAGCACUUUCUGGAUAACAAUCCUGAAAGUUGUGGGGCAAGUUCUUUUCUAAGGGCUUCCUCUAGGCGCCCGUAAUAGCUCAUACUGACUUCUAUUAUGACACUUGAUUAUGGCCGGUGUUAUUAUUAUUGUCCACGUUAUCGUUACUGUGCGCUGAAAAUAUUAAGUAUUCAUCUUGGUAGUACCAGAAGCUUUCUCUAAAACUUGGAGUUCCUUAAAGGUUAGUUCCUAGAAACUGGGUAAAAACAUCCUCCCUGAAAUCCUGGCCAAAACUCAAUCUUUAAUUACUGUGAUGCUGGCCUCCCAUCCACAGCAAGGAUGAAAAAGAGUGGCUUCGUCAUUUGAAAGGUCUUUCUUUGUCUCUAUUUCAAAUUUACUUCUAAGGCGUUAUUACCACCUAGUUUCUCUAUUACCCCAGGGGCGAGAUCCAGAUGCCUCUCGGCUUUGAGGACCUCACGACCCGCGCGGGGUAGUUGGACAUCGCUCCUGGGUCGCGAACACACCAACCCGAGGCGGCGGGCGAACCUCGCGCACGGGUUCCGACCCUCGAGCGCGAGAAACGGUCACCGCGGCGACGCGCGCCGAGGACGCGCAGCCCUGGGCAGUGGAACUAACAAGAUCACGUGUGCCCUCCUGAAAAAAAAAAAAAGUUCUCAGAGGUUGGUAAUGCAAGCCACUAAAGAAGCAUGCAAGGAUCACCAGCCAGUGCAGAGCACCCUUUUGAGCUAUCCAUAACUUGGACGUGAAAUCUACAUUUUUAUUAUUUAUUGAAAAUAAUCCUAAUGUUUCCUUACUUCGAAAUGGAAAAUUUAUUGAAGUAAACUGCCUAUAAUUUAAAAAAUAUUAAUUGAACUGAAUGUUGAAUUUUUCUUUCUGAAACACCCCCCAAAUUUUUACCGUGUGGUCUACAAGUUAAUUUCUUUACUUAAUAGAAAAAUAAUUUCUACUUUCUCUAAACUGAUUUACAUGCAUUGUCUGUUUUUCUUCUCUCCUUUGCCCAUUUCUUCUCAACAUUUCCUAAGGCUCAAAUAACUAUUCUCUACUUGUCAAGGGAUGACUGCCAGAAACAUUUAUUUUCAAAGAUGAUAAUCUGCCUUUUUAACAAUCCAAAUGUCCAUUAAUAGUUGAAUGAAUAAAUUGUGGUAUAGUCAUAUGAAGGAAUACUAUACAGCAAUCAAAGUAAAGGAGCUAUGACCCACAACAAUAUGGAUGGUUUCUACAUAAUAUUGAAGAAGUCACACAAAAGCAAAUAUAUUAUCCUAUUUUUUUAAAGAGUAAAAAAGGUAAAAGUCAAGAAAUUAUUUUGGGACAGAGAGGCAAUGAAAGGGGGCUUAUGGGAUGAUGGUAAUAUGUCUUUUGAUGGAGGUGAUAGUGUGUUUGCUUUAUGAUAAUUCAUCAUCUGACCCUGAUGAUUUAGAAAAUCUCUGGUGUAAACUGAGGGUUGCUGGAGGGGAGGUGGGUGGAGGGAUGGGGUAAUUGGGUGAUGGGCAUUA